AAAAAAAUCCUAAAACCCCAAAACAUCAAAGAAAAAAUGUCGACCUUCGCCGCUGCUAGGUCCGUCCUCCGAUCUGCCGCCGGCAGAACCUCCUUGGGCUCCCGAAUCUCAGCCGCCGCCAGAUCCAAACCACCGUCUUCACCGUUCCGUAUCCCCAGAGAGAAUCUGAAUCGUCUCUCUCGUCCAACAUUCAGACGGUCGGCCGUUGAGAUGAGUCGCUGCGUAGAAUCGAUGCUUCCUUAUCACACCGCGACGGCCUGCGCAUUGCUCAAUUCCAUGCUUUCCGUCUCUUGCCGCACCCAGGGUUGGAAUCUUGAAGAUUGCAAUGAUGAUGUAUGAUGAAUAUCAGAAUGGUUGAGCGAAAACUAAUGCGCCCUAGAACAAGGUAGAUGAUUGUUCUGUUGGGACGCGAUGCAUUGAGGCAAUCGCAUUUCUUUCCAUUCGUUUUUCAUGGAUUAAAUCAGACUUUGUGACAGUUACUGAAGCCAGUUGAAUUUGUUGGAGUUAAAAUUUGAAGUGAAUCCGAUGGGUGAUUUUUCUGUUCGGGCGCAGUGCAUUGAGGCAAUCUUAUUUCUUUCCAUUUGUUUUUCAUGGAUUAAACCAGGCUUUGUGACAGUUACUGAAGGCAGUUGUUGUAAUGACUGAGAAAAUCCCAGACCUUAAA
Molecule: RNA transcript, 664 nt
Organism: Morus notabilis
Lineage: Eukaryota; Viridiplantae; Streptophyta; Magnoliopsida; Rosales; Moraceae
Gene name: protein NUCLEAR FUSION DEFECTIVE 6, chloroplastic/mitochondrial
Exons: 5
Source: RefSeq, a predicted model, not a curated record